Non-coding RNA from Nerophis lumbriciformis (worm pipefish), 1878 nucleotides. The record is from RefSeq and is a predicted model, not a curated record. NCBI's taxonomy places the organism in Eukaryota, Metazoa, Chordata, Actinopteri, Syngnathiformes, Syngnathidae.
GGACCCGCCCACCUGCAUGCAGCUGUGGAAGAACAAGCCCAGACACGUUUCUUCACGGAGCCCAAGGAAAACACUUUACCGAACUCAUAUGGGAUGGCCCUGUAAGUUGUGCAGCACUGUUGUACCAACCAAGAGUGACAUUUUAAAGCAUUACAGACUGCACCAUGGGACCUUUGGACACAGCCAUUCCUUGCACUGCAUUCAUGUAGGUUGCCCAUGCUCUUAUACAUCCCUUUGCUCUCAUCUGUCAAGAUGCUAGACUUCUCCUCUCUGACACCACCGCCAGAGAGUCUAGCUCCACUCCCACCACGUUACAGGCCUUCUCUACCAACUUGUCCAGUCUGUUUGCGUCCCUCGCUCUCAGCCCGCUGCCCCAGCAGGCCACGGCGUACAAGAAGGCGCCUGCCACCACCGACUCGUAGAAUAUCUUCUAUUCUAUUCUAUUCUAUUUUUCCUGACCAAGUUUCCAUUGUGACUUGGACAUGACAUACUAGACUCACUUUUUGCCUGAAAAUGUAUACUAAUACCCUUAAUAUCAGUAAUGGUCAACAUUUGCUGUCUUACAGAUUAAUGAAGCGUUCCGAAGGUGCACUGCUGUUCCACUGGAAUCAACAUUUAUGUCCCAACUGGACAGGUACACUCCAAAACUCCUGGAGCUCUUCAGUGCAAAAGGAGGAGUGACUGCAGCGCAUCAAGAACUUGUUGAUGGAACUGACACAGGACCCAAGUGCCUCUGCAGUGAAGAAGAGAGAUGUGACUGUGAGAUGCCUCAUAGAGUACGUGGGAGAGAGUGGACAGGAGCUAAUCUCUGACUACUGGAACUGCAGAGACCGCUGUUCAUGAGGACCUGGAAAUGAAGAAUAUGAGCAUCUACAUCUGUCGUGAGCCAAAUGCAGUAGAAAUCAUCAUUGAGGGAGUACCAGUCCUUACUCAUCUUGGAAACCUGGUCAAAGCAUGCUGCCUACUUCUGGGGUUGACGUAUGCACUUAAUCUUGAGUAUCCAUCCAAACUUUCCAAAACAUUUGAGGUGUUUCAAAGACAUUUUGUGGGACUUGACACACUGCGCCCAAAACCAACCCCCAAAUUCAUGACUCUCAAAAACAAGCUUCUAGCUUAGGCAGUGAGCCAUGACUGUCAGCUUGCACUUUUGAACAGCUAUUUUCUUGUGUCUGUUCAAAAUCAUUAUACAUUGUUCAUUGAGUGGAAUUCUUCAGAAUGUUGUAACGGUUUGUCCUGUUCAGGUUUUAUACAAAGCUCCAGGUCAUCGUUUCUGGUGUGUAAAUUAAGUUUUUUUAUGUUUUAUACACACUAAAUUGCCCCACUGUGAAGCUCCAGCUGGUCAGAAGGAGGGAUCUGUGAGUUGUUUAAGUUAAAAUGUUUCAAAAUAUACACACUGAAAGACACUACAGUGAAAGUGUUCUGCUUGUAAAUUGUUACAGAAGUACAGAUAAUCUUAAUGUUAAAUUGUUUUAGCAAGAAACUGUACUGUGAAUGUUCUAAGUAAAACUUGAGAUGCUGAGGUCAUGCAUUCUUUUAUGCACUAAAUACUGAUGUUCUUGACUGUUAAUACUGUCCAGCUUAUUGACAGGUUUGGAUAUGGCUUGUGAAAAUGUUUUAAUAUGUAUACGGUUAAAAAAAAGAAAACUACUGUGAAGGUGUUAAUUACAGCACUUUAGUUGAGGUCAUGCAUUCUUGUAUAAUAUGGAUGUUGACUGUUCAUACUGUCCAGCUCAUUGCCACUGUUUUUAUAUGGUAAUGAUUUAAUAAAGGUUGGAAUUUGAUAUGUCUUGAUUUUUUUAUUAUUAUUCUAAGUAAUUAUUUUAAGCAGUUUCCAUUUUCAAAACAAAGAAAGGGUAAGUUGGUCAAAAUUAAUAAAAU